CGGGAAAAGCUCAAAUUUAAAAUCUGGCGGUCUUUGGCCGUCCGAGUUGUAGUCUGGAGAAGUGCUUUCCGCGCUGGACCGUGUAUAAGUCUCUUGGAACAGAGCGUCAUAGAGGGUGAGAAUCCCGUCUUUGACACGGACUACCAGUGCUUUGUGAUGCGCUCUCAAA
This 169-nucleotide ribosomal RNA is filed under the name Polyporales sp. Its description in RNAcentral is "partial large subunit ribosomal RNA". It matches the Rfam family "Eukaryotic large subunit ribosomal RNA", at positions 99 to 261 of the family's 3401-position model. The record is from RNAcentral. Lineage: Eukaryota; Fungi; Basidiomycota; Agaricomycetes; Polyporales.